CUCAUCAUUCCCUCAUGCCUUACAAGUCACGACUCACCACUCCCUCACGCCGCCUCACAGUCACCUUUGCCCCGAGUCCCUCCCUCUCCCUCACGUUAGUGACUCAGCCGAGUGCAGAGUGCUGAUUCGGUUCACCUCUACCCUCACCUCAUCGAGUCCCUUUCCUUCACAGUCAUCGCCUCACGUGUCAUCUACCCUCACUCCCCCUCUCGACUGCCGACUCGAGUUCCUCUCCCUUACGCCACCUCUCCCUCUCACGAGUUGAAUCCCUCUCCCUCACAAGCACCGCCUCACAUCACCUCUCCUUUUCACGAGUUCCUCUCCUUCACACUGACUCGAGUUCUCAUCUCACCCUCACGGCCUCACCCCCAUCGCCGUCACCCAUCCCACCUACCAAACUCCAGUCUGCCAUCCAUCCACCAAACUUGCUCCCUUACCGACGUUCGAUCAGUUUUCCUUGGUGUCCCUCUGUCAGGUCUAUCGUCUGAAGCAUUGCCGACGUAUUUUCGUUCCAAUGUGGAAUUUGAAAAUGACUCAAUCAAAUAAUAAUGAGUUAGAACAAGGUGGUUCAACUUCAACAUCUAUAACAUGAGCGAAUCAACCCCAAUAAAUAGUGUUUCUAGUGGAAUCAUCCCUUACAAAGUUGGAUGAAAUUCGUUGAUGACGGCUUGGUUUGGCUAUGUUAUUGUCGUGUUAUUGUCAUGUUAUGUCUUAAACAAAUAUUUUGUUAUUGUCAUGUUGUAACUUUUCUUAAAAUAAUGGAUGGAUGUUUUUAUUUUUUAAGUUUAAGUUGAACUUUAGAGAAUAAUUGAUGGAUUAUGAAUGAAUGUUUUUAUUA
Benincasa hispida (wax gourd) is the source of this 838-nucleotide long non-coding RNA. RefSeq lists it as uncharacterized. Lineage: Eukaryota; Viridiplantae; Streptophyta; Magnoliopsida; Cucurbitales; Cucurbitaceae. The record is from RefSeq and is a predicted model, not a curated record.